UUAGAGUUUGAUCCUGGCUCAGGAUGAACGCUAGCGGCAGGCCUAAUACAUGCAGGCCGGACGGCAAGGUCUGUAGCAAUACAGGCCCUAGAGUGGCGCAAGGGUGCGUAACACGUAUGCAACCUGCCCACGGCCCGGGGAUAGCCCCCCGAAAGGGGGAUUAACACCCGAUAGAUACCAAUGGUGGCAUCACUGAUGGUUUAAGCUACGGGGCCGUGGAUGGGCAUGCGUCCGAUUAGCUAGUUGGUGGGGUAACGGCCCACCAAGGCGAUGAUCGGUAGGGGUUCUGAGAGGAAGGUCCCCCACACUGGCACUGAGACACGGGCCAGACUCCUACGGGAGGCAGCAGUAGGGAAUAUUGGACAAUGGGCGAGAGCCUGAUCCAGCCAUGCCGCGUGCAGGAAGAAGGCCUUCUGGGUCGUAAACUGCUUUUGCCGGGGGAUAAAACACCCCUGCCGGGGAAAUUGAAGGUACCCGGUGAAUAAGCCACGGCUAACUACGUGCCAGCAGCCGCGGUAAUACGUAGGUGGCGAGCGUUGUCCGGAUUUAUUGGGUUUCAAGGGUGCGUAGGCGGCCCGGAUAGUCACCGGUGAAAUACGGCAGCCCAACUGUCGAGGUGCCGUUGAUACUGCCGGGCUUGAGUGCGUUCGAGGGGGGCGGAAUUGACGGUGUAGCGGUGAAAUGCUUAGAUAUCGUCAAGAACACCGAUAGCGGAGGCAGCCCCCCAGGCCGCCACUGACGCUGAGGCACGAAAGUGCGGGGAUCAAACAGGAUUAGAUACCCUGGUAGUCCGCACCGUAAACGAUGGUCACUCGGUGCCGGCGAUAUACAGCCGGUGCCUUAGCGAAAGCGAUAAGUGACCCACCUGGGGAGUACGCCGGCAACGGUGAAACUCAAAGGAAUUGACGGGGGUCCGCACAAGCGGUGGAGCAUGUGGUUUAAUUCGAUGGUACGCGAGGAACCUUACCCGGGCUAGAAUGCCCCUGACAGACGCAGAGACGCAUUUUCCCGCAAGGGCAGGGAGCAAGGUGCUGCAUGGCUGUCGUCAGCCCGUGCCGUGAGGUGUUGGGUUAAGUCCCGCAACGAGCGCAACCCUUGUCUUCAGUUACCAAUAUCAAGUUAGGGACUCUGGAGAGACUGCCGGUGAUAAACCGGAGGAAGGUGGGGAUGACUUCAAGUCCUCAUGGCCCUUACGGGCUGGGCUACACACGUACUACAAUGGCGAAUACAAAGGGAAGCAAGCGUGCGAACGCAAGCGGAUCCUAUAAAAUUCGUCUCAGUUCAGAUUGCACUCUGCAACUCGAGUGCAUGAAGUUGGAAUCGCUAGUAAUCGCGAAUCAGCAGGUCGCGGUGAAUACGUUCCCGGGCCUUGUACACACCGCCCGUCACACCAUGGGAGUUGGUUCUACCCGAAGGCGCUGUGCUGACCGCAAGGAGGCAGGUGACCACGGUAGGAUCAGUGACUGGGGUGAAGUCGUAACAAGGUAGCCGUA
This 1493-nucleotide ribosomal RNA is filed under the name uncultured bacterium. RNAcentral describes it as "16S ribosomal RNA". It matches the Rfam family "Bacterial small subunit ribosomal RNA". The record is from RNAcentral.